RNAcentral lists this long non-coding RNA (702 nucleotides) under Fragaria vesca (wild strawberry). RNAcentral's name for it is "long non-coding RNA (FVES_LNC000332)". Lineage: Eukaryota; Viridiplantae; Streptophyta; Magnoliopsida; Rosales; Rosaceae. The record is from RNAcentral.
GGAAGCUUGAGCUGGAACUGAUAUACAAAGUUCAUAUUUCGUAGUAAUAUGUACUAGGCUAACUUGUAUCGAAAAAAAAAUGUACUAGGCUAACUGAAAUCUUAAACUAGUGAUGAGUAUCUGGUAGUUUUUCUUUUGAAUUUAGGAUUAAAUUCACUUUACCCCCCUAAUUUUUAGUGUCAAAAUCAGUUCAGUCCUGUAAUUUUUUUUUAAAAAUUCAGUUCGCCCCUUUAACUUUGGUAAACACAUCAAUUUGGUCCAAUUUUUGAAUUCCUCUUAAAAUAUGAUGUCACCAAACUGACAAGGGGACCCAUUUUCACCAAACUGAAGGGUAAAAUAGUCAAUUUGAGAAGAUAUUAUUAAAGAAAACUAAAAAAAUACAUUUAUUUGGCAAAAAAAUGAGGGCAUUUUAGACAUUUUGUUAAAAAUGGGUCCUUUUUUCAGUUUGGUGACGUCAUAUUUUAAGGGGAAUUCAAAAAUUGGAUAAAACUGAUGUGUUUACGAAAGUUGAAGGGGCGAACUGAUUUAAAAAAAAGUUACAGGACUGAACUGAUUUUGUCACUAAAGAUUAGAGGGGUAAACUGAAAUUUUUUCUAGAAUUUAUCAUGUUAUUAGCAUAAGUUUUUGUUUUUAAAUUUUGAUUUAUUAAUUUUGUUCAGAAUUAUUUGUAAAUUUCAUAUUUAGUUUAUGAGUGCCUUUAUG